GGGGAAUCCCUUAUAUGGAUAUUGCGAGUAUGAAAGCAAGGAUGGGGGAAAAAAACGUAACAAGGAUAGGGAUGGGAAUAGCAUAGCCACCUCCGAUUCGACCCAUUGCCAUCCUACUCUGACCAUAAAACGACUCAACCCUUACCAUAGAACGACUCAACAAAAGGUAAUUACAGUCAAUCAAGAAUUAUAGAGUGAGGG
RNAcentral lists this long non-coding RNA (201 nucleotides) under Prunus persica (peach). RNAcentral describes it as "long non-coding RNA (PPER_LNC001653)". Lineage: Eukaryota; Viridiplantae; Streptophyta; Magnoliopsida; Rosales; Rosaceae. The record is from RNAcentral.